CCUCCUUAAACGAAGCCGAAUGCUUCGGUCAGAGUCCACACGAAUUACUUGGUUGAUUAAUAAAGAGAGCAGAUGGGUCUAUCAGGCCCGUACCAUUGGGUCUGUAGCUCAGGUGGUUAGAGCGCACCCCUGAUAAGGGUGAGGUCGGUGGUUCAAGUCCACCCAGACCCACCAAAAUCGCCCAGAUCGGCGUUAUCGAAUGACUUGCCUAGCAGGCUAGGCGGCGACAUCCGAUGCCUGGAUCUGAACGAUUUUAAGUAGCUUAAAUGGGGCUAUAGCUCAGCUGGGAGAGCGCCUGCCUUGCACGCAGGAGGUCGGCAGUUCGAUCCUGCCUAGCUCCACCAAUAUUACUGACACGCCGUUGGGCGGUUAGUGUACAGAAACAAGCAUUUCGAUUUAAUGACAUCAGUUGUUAAACGAAGUUCUUCUUUCUGAUCACUGGGUCAGAUUUGCUCUUUAAA
This 461-nucleotide unclassified non-coding RNA is filed under the name uncultured Marinobacter sp. RNAcentral's name for it is "partial 16S-23S ribosomal RNA intergenic spacer". The stretch from base 98 to 171 matches the Rfam family "tRNA". The record is from RNAcentral. Lineage: Bacteria; Pseudomonadati; Pseudomonadota; Gammaproteobacteria; Pseudomonadales; Marinobacteraceae.